RNAcentral lists this unclassified non-coding RNA (611 nucleotides) under Dalbergia sp. 4 IH-2015. RNAcentral describes it as "partial contains ITS1, 5.8S rRNA and ITS2". The stretch from base 242 to 397 matches the Rfam family "5.8S ribosomal RNA". Lineage: Eukaryota; Viridiplantae; Streptophyta; Magnoliopsida; Fabales; Fabaceae. The record is from RNAcentral.
UCGAUGCCUCAAUCCAGAGAGACCCGCGGACACGUUUCAACACCCGGGGCAGGCGAAGCUGCCCAGCAGCUCGCCUCCCCGAAAAGUCGGGACGGAGCCGCGACCCGCGGCCUCCAGUCCCGGCGCAACAACCAACAAACCCCGGCGCGGAACGCGCCAAGGAAUCAACAAUCGCAGAGCGCGCCCCGUCGACCCGGAAACGGUGCUCGCACGGGCGACGUCGCAAACUCGAGUCCAAAACGACUCUCGGCAACGGAUAUCUCGGCUCUUGCAUCGAUGAAGAACGUAGCGAAAUGCGAUACUUGGUGUGAAUUGCAGAAUCCCGUGAACCAUCGAGUCUUUGAACGCAAGUUGCGCCCGAAGCCACUAGGCCAAGGGCACGCCUGCCUGGGUGUCACCAAUCGCCGCCCCAACCCCUGUGCCUCCGGCCACGGAGAGGGGCGAAUGCUGGCCUCCCGUGAGCACCGUYUCGCGGCUGGCUGAAAAUCGGGUUCGUGGUGGAUGCAGCGCCAUGACAUACGGUGGUUGAGCGUGUUCUCGAGGCCAGUCAUGCGGGCGGCCUCCACCGGCUCCGUACCCAGCGACCCGCGAGCGAUGUCGAUCGCCCACGA